Molecule: transfer RNA, 73 nt
Filed under: Takifugu rubripes (torafugu)
Lineage: Eukaryota; Metazoa; Chordata; Actinopteri; Tetraodontiformes; Tetraodontidae
Description: tRNA-Tyr (GTA) (tRNA-Tyr-GTA-4-1)
Rfam family: tRNA
About the family: Transfer RNA (tRNA) molecules are approximately 80 nucleotides in length. Their secondary structure includes four short double-helical elements and three loops (D, anti-codon, and T loops).
Source: RNAcentral
CCUUCGAUAACUCAGUUGGUAGAGUGGAGGACUGUAGAUCCUUAGGUCGCUGGUUCAAAUCCGGCUCGAAGGA